Molecule: ribosomal RNA, 253 nt
Filed under: uncultured bacterium
Lineage: Bacteria
Description: partial 16S ribosomal RNA
Rfam family: Bacterial small subunit ribosomal RNA
Source: RNAcentral
UACGUAGGGUGCGAGCGUUAAUCGGAAUUACUGGGCGUAAAGCGUGCGCAGGCGGUUGUACAAGACAGGGGUGAAAUCCCCGGGCUUAACCUGGGAACUGCACUUGUGACUGUACGACUGGAGUACGGCAGAGGGGGAUGGAAUUCCGCGUGUAGCAGUGAAAUGCGUAGAUAUGCGGAGGAACACCGAUGGCGAAGGCAAUCCCCUGGGCCUGUACUGACGCUCAUGCACGAAAGCGUGGGGAGCAAACAGG